GACGAACGCUGGCGGCGUGCUUAACACAUGCAAGUCGAACGGAAAGGCCCUGCUUUUGUGGGGUGCUCGAGUGGCGAACGGGUGAGUAACACGUGAGUAACCUGCCCUUGACUUUGGGAUAACUUCAGGAAACUGGGGCUAAUACCGGAUAGGAGCUCCUGAUGCAUGGUGGGGGUUGGAAAGUUUCGGCGGUUGGGGAUGGACUCGCGGCUUAUCAGCUUGUUGGUGGGGUAGUGGCUUACCAAGGCUUUGACGGGUAGCCGGCCUGGGAGGGUGACCGGCCACAAUGGGACUGAGAUACGGCCCAGACUGCUACGGGAGGCAGCAGUGGGGAAUAUUGCACAAUGGGCGGAAGCCUGAUGCAGCAACGCCGCGUGCGGGAUGACGGCCUUCGGGUUGUAAACCGCUUUCGCCUGUGACGAAGCGGGAGUGACGGUAAUGGGUAAAGAAGCACCGGCUAACUACGUG
This 468-nucleotide ribosomal RNA is filed under the name uncultured bacterium. RNAcentral's name for it is "partial 16S ribosomal RNA". It matches the Rfam family "Bacterial small subunit ribosomal RNA", at positions 28 to 507 of the family's 1533-position model. The record is from RNAcentral.